Long non-coding RNA from Orcinus orca (killer whale), 1635 nucleotides. RefSeq lists it as uncharacterized. The transcript has 2 exons. Lineage: Eukaryota; Metazoa; Chordata; Mammalia; Artiodactyla; Delphinidae. The record is from RefSeq and is a predicted model, not a curated record.
UACGUUGUCUUGCCCUCUUUUCUCAAACCAUCACGAGCCUCUACAUUGAUCCGUUGAUUUCCUUUAACACCAACCUUUGCCAGAGCCUCCUGAGUGUGGAAGGCUUUUGGAGGAAGGCAGGGCUGUCUGUGCGGAUUUUCUGAAUGGGAAAGCAAGCUCUCACGAGGAAGACUUACUUUGAUUACGCUGGCCUAGGAGGGCGGGAGAGGAAUCUGAGGUCAUCACACCUUUUCCCUGGGUAUUACUGAUUUUCAAAUAGCUGUUUCCUGGUGCGGUAUUCGCACUGAAGGUGUCAAGAGGUCAAAAGGGCUCUGGUGUGAAUUUGCAACCUCUGAGAGAGUCAUGGUGUCCAGUCGGUGAGGGUCUGAGCCAUUCUUGCCGUGGUGGUAGGAUCCUUUUCUUGUGAGGGUUUCCAAAGCUUUACUCUUAUUGGAUGUCAGCAUAGAAAGCCUGAUGCUGUCCUUUGUGCCUGCCAACUGAAUAUUCAGCUGAAGCGUCACUGGCUGGUGCUUCUUGACUUGUGAAGGUAAGGAGAUGGGAUGGAGGGGUUUGUGAUGACUCCCAGAGGUGGAGGCCCAUGGCCAUCUGAGAUUUCCUAUAGUGGACACUCGUGCAGACCCCUGGGGCGCCGGCUGAGUGAACUGGUGCUCUGGGGUGAGCCUGGGGUGGGGUCUGUCUGAGCCAUGGACAGAAAAGGCUUUGAAGGAGGCAGAAGGGGGCACUGAGCGGAGCUGCUAGGUGGCAGCCAGUUCUGCCCUGGUUCCUGCACGUGUCACCCCCUCGGUACAUCAUUUGUUCCAAAUGUUCUGUCGCAAGCUUAAAGUUGACAGCAUUUGGGAAAUGGGAGCUGAGCUGGUCUGACUCCUUUGUGUGGCGACAUGCACCUGACACCUGGAUGGUGGCCUUCAGCUCUUUGCCUACCUCAUCCACUGUAGGAGUGGUUUUGAUUCCCUGAGCUCUCACCCUGGUACACCUGGAUGCUGGAGUUUGAUCUGAGGAAACCUGCCUGGUAUCCCUGUUGGCUCAGAGCCUCGUGUGCCUGAAUUUUGAGCUCAGCGUUCUCUUUCUGUAGUAAUGUCAUGCAUGCCUAAACUCUGAAUUUCUCAGAGUUACUGGUCACCAGCCAAAGGAUUUUGUGCAUUUGGGUGUUGAGCCAAAAUCAUGCCAAGGAAAAUAAAGAAAACAUCAUCACCUGUCGCUGGGAACCAGCCACAUCUGGAAUAUCAGCGGCCCUUCAGCCCAUCCCCAUGCACAAGGCUGGGCUGCCCUUGCCCAUCUCAGGUGGAGGGGCCUUGAAAAGUCCUCCAGGAGUUGAGAUUCCACACGCUCUUCCAUCAGCUCUUCCUGGCCGAGAAAGAGAAGAGUUUUUUAAGUUUGGAAAACUCCAAUUGGCAUGUCAUUGAAGGGGUGAGGAAUAUUCUCACAAGUCAUGGGGUGCGUACCCUGCCGACUUCUGUGCCGGGGCUCAGAAGGUACUUUCUGGCAUGUAGUCUGUGAGCCCCAGCAGGCAAACCCUUACGUGGAGGUGAGUGUGGUGAUCGGCCAGAAGGACAGGUGCCUUGGCGCCUUCUUUCCUUGUCUCUUCCUUUUUGCUCCUCUGUAUUUCUCAGAAAUAAAGUGCUCUUGUAAGAUGGA